Molecule: transfer RNA, 74 nt
Filed under: Eubacterium sp.
Lineage: Bacteria; Bacillati; Bacillota; Clostridia; Eubacteriales; Eubacteriaceae
Also listed under: 3 other names
Description: tRNA-Arg
Rfam family: tRNA
About the family: Transfer RNA (tRNA) molecules are approximately 80 nucleotides in length. Their secondary structure includes four short double-helical elements and three loops (D, anti-codon, and T loops). Further hydrogen bonds mediate the characteristic L-shaped molecular structure. tRNAs have two regions of fundamental functional importance: the anti-codon, which is responsible for specific mRNA codon recognition, and the 3' end, to which the tRNAs corresponding amino acid is attached (by aminoacyl-tRNA synthetases). tRNAs cope with the degeneracy of the genetic code in two manners: having more than one tRNA (with a specific anti-codon) for a particular amino acid; and 'wobble' base-pairing, i.e. permitting non-standard base-pairing at the 3rd anti-codon position.
Source: RNAcentral
GUCCUCGUAGCUCAGCAGGAUAGAGCGACCGCCUCCUAAGCGGUAGGUCGGAGGUUCGAAUCCCCUCGGGGACG